GAGCACGUAGGUGGGUUUGUAAGUCAGAUGCGAAAGCCUUCUGUUCAACGGAAGAAUUGCAUCUGAAACUGCGAGCCUUGAGUAUAGGAGGGGAGAAUGGAACUUCUGGUGGAGCGGUGAAAUGCGUAGAUAUCAGAAGGAACGCCGGCGGCGAAAAGCGAUUCUCUGGCCUAUUACUGACACUCAGUGUGCGAAAGCUAGGGGAGCAAACGGGAUUAGAUACCCCGGUAGUCCUAGCCGUAAGCAAUGGGCACUAAGUAGAGGGGUUUU
RNAcentral lists this ribosomal RNA (270 nucleotides) under uncultured Planctomycetales bacterium. RNAcentral describes it as "partial 16S ribosomal RNA". It matches the Rfam family "Bacterial small subunit ribosomal RNA", at positions 565 to 832 of the family's 1533-position model. The record is from RNAcentral. Lineage: Bacteria; Pseudomonadati; Planctomycetota; Planctomycetia; Planctomycetales.